Cordylochernes scorpioides is the source of this 115-nucleotide non-coding RNA. The record is from the annotation of a GenBank genome assembly. NCBI's taxonomy places the organism in Eukaryota, Metazoa, Arthropoda, Arachnida, Pseudoscorpiones, Chernetidae.
CCCUCGAUAGCUCAGUUGGCAGAGCGGAGGACUAUAGAUGAAAUUUGUCUUUUCUCCUCUGCCAGAUCUUAGGAUCCCUUGCCACCAGUUCGCAUUCUGCAGCCAUUUUGGGGGA